AUGAACCCCGUCCGUCAGCAACUGUUUACAGCUCCUCUGAUCAGAAAGGAGCGUAAACAGAUCACAAUAAAAGAUCCCACACAGGGAGGACGGGACAUCACCAAAGAGAUCAUGACCGGAAGAUGGACCACAUCUCAGAUUAUAAUAAAAGACCCCACACUGGGAGGACGGGACAUCACCAAAGCGAUCAUGUCUGAAAGAUUGAC
This is a long non-coding RNA of Trichomycterus rosablanca, 206 nucleotides long. RefSeq lists it as uncharacterized. NCBI's taxonomy places the organism in Eukaryota, Metazoa, Chordata, Actinopteri, Siluriformes, Trichomycteridae. The transcript is spliced from 3 exons. The record is from RefSeq and is a predicted model, not a curated record.